This 206-nucleotide ribosomal RNA is filed under the name uncultured bacterium. RNAcentral's name for it is "partial 16S ribosomal RNA". It matches the Rfam family "Bacterial small subunit ribosomal RNA", at positions 568 to 774 of the family's 1533-position model. The record is from RNAcentral.
CGUGUAGGCGGCCAAACAGGUCAGCUGUGAAAACUCGAGGCUCAACCUCGAGACGUCGGUUGAAACCGUUUGGCUAGAGUCCGGAAGAGGAGAGUGGAAUUCCCGGUGUAGCGGUGAAAUGCGCAGAUAUCGGGAAGAACACCCGUGCGAAGGCGGCUCUCUGGGACGGUACUGACGCUGAGACGCGAAAGCGUGGGGAGCGAACA